This 18-nucleotide transfer RNA is filed under the name Ursus arctos isabellinus (Himalayan brown bear). RNAcentral describes it as "partial tRNA-Thr". Lineage: Eukaryota; Metazoa; Chordata; Mammalia; Carnivora; Ursidae. The record is from RNAcentral.
UCUACCCUCCCUAAGACU